UACGAAGGCAGCAGUGGGGAAUAUUGGACAAUGGGCGAAAGCCUGAUCCAGCAAUGCCGCGUGAGUGAUGAAGGCCUUAGGGUUGUAAAGCUCUUUUACCCGGGAUGAUAAUGACAGUACCGGGAGAAUAAGCUCCGGCUAACUCCGUGCCAGCAGCCGCGGUAAUACGGAGGGAGCUAGCGUUGUUCGGAAUUACUGGGCGUAAAGCGCACGUAGGCGGCUUUGUAAGUUAGAGGUGAAAAGCCUGGAGCUCAACUCCAGAACUGCCUUUUGAUACUGCAUGGCUUGAAUCCAGGAGAGGUGAGUGGAAUUCCGAGUGUAGAGGUGAAAUUCGUAGAUAUUCGGAAGAACACCAGUGGCGAAGGCGGCUCACUGGACUGGUAUUGACGCUGAGGUGCGAAAGCGUGGGGAGCAAACAGGGAUUAGAUACC
RNAcentral lists this ribosomal RNA (431 nucleotides) under uncultured bacterium. Its description in RNAcentral is "bacterial SSU rRNA". It matches the Rfam family "Bacterial small subunit ribosomal RNA", at positions 340 to 786 of the family's 1533-position model. The record is from RNAcentral.